GUGAGUCCCGGGAGGGCCCCGCGGCCGGAGGAAGCUGGGUGCGGGUGCGGAUGCGCGAGGCUGGGGCGCGCGGCGCGAGCGCUGAGGAGGCGCUGGGCCCAGGGGGCGCGUGACGCACGGCGCCCAGGGGACCGGGUGGGGGCCCAGCCCUGGGUGCCGGGCGUAGAGCCCGCGGGAGGCCCUGGCGGCUGCGGCAGAGAUCGCCCCGGGGCGCGGGAAUCCGCGUGGGUUUCGGAGGCGCUUAGCUAGCUGGGCGCUUGCUUUGGAGAUCCAGAUCCUGGAGCAUCGCCCGGGGGCGCUGGGAGGGCGGUGAGCGGGAUGCGUGUUCUGGUCCCGGGGCUGCCUCCCCCAGAACCUUGGCAUGGGGACGAAGAGGGUUCUGCCUUUAGCCUGUCCGACCUCCCCACUCCCUUCUCUGCUGGGUGUCUCAGCCUGGGGCUGCUCAGAUUCCCUUCUGGGGAACUUGUCUGCGCGCUGCUGGUAGCUCCGCGCUCAGGCUGGGAGAGAAGGGCAGCGGAAGGGCCCGGGAAACGAAGCGGAGUGGCCGGGUGCAGCCCCAAGGAGAGGAGCUCAGCGUGCCCCAAGCCAUCCUCCAAGGACCCUUACCCUUCCACUCCUAAAGAGUUUCACUCCUCCAAGCUGCUACAUACUACAGUCACUCGCCUCACCAGUUUCUCUUUCUCCAACAACUUGGCCCUGAGAAACAGCAGAAAGUGGGAGAAAUUAACAGCGUUAAAACAAUCCCCAACUUCCACCAACUCGCCCAGACUUCCAAGGGUGGGGAAGUAGCGACGGGCUUGAGUACCGUUUCCGUGACAACGAGCCCCAGGUGGUCCAGUCACAAUGACUGGGGAUGAGCCAGCCCUGUUAAUCCCAAUUCUCGGAAGACUCAGUCCGCUUGUGGAAUUGAAAGCACCCCAGACCUUCCAGGCAUCCAGGACGGGCCUGGGUGUACAGGCGUAUCAAGUUUUCCUGAGUGGCUUGCUCUGCUGAGAGCUGGAAUACCACCUUUUGCUCUGGUCAUCGCUUCUUCCAAGUGAAGGCGUCUUUUAGCAGAACGCCUGCUAGAUGGUUAGCUUCAGGGUAGGUAAAGGUUGGCCGGAGGCAGACUCCCACCUGGGAUCCUAUAUGACAAACUAAAAAUGACUGUUUUAGGCAAACUAGCUGUGAAUGAAAGUGUUGAACUAAAUUAAAAAUCUGACGAAUCUGCCACAGUUCUGGAC
Molecule: long non-coding RNA, 1223 nt
Organism: Bos taurus (domestic cattle)
Lineage: Eukaryota; Metazoa; Chordata; Mammalia; Artiodactyla; Bovidae
Source: Ensembl